UACGUAGGGCGCAAGCGUUAUCCGGAAUUAUUGGGCGUAAAGAGCUCGUAGGCGGUUUGUCGCGUCUGCCGUGAAAGUCCGGGGCUCAACUCCGGAUCUGCGGUGGGUACGGGCAGACUAGAGUGAUGUAGGGGAGACUGGAAUUCCUGGUGUAGCGGUGAAAUGCGCAGAUAUCAGGAGGAACACCGAUGGCGAAGGCAGCUCUCUGGGACGGUACUGACGCUGAGACGCGAAAGCGUGGGGAGCGAACAGG
Molecule: ribosomal RNA, 253 nt
Filed under: uncultured bacterium
Lineage: Bacteria
Description: partial 16S ribosomal RNA
Rfam family: Bacterial small subunit ribosomal RNA
Source: RNAcentral